RNAcentral lists this ribosomal RNA (253 nucleotides) under uncultured bacterium. RNAcentral's name for it is "partial 16S ribosomal RNA". It matches the Rfam family "Bacterial small subunit ribosomal RNA", at positions 524 to 776 of the family's 1533-position model. The record is from RNAcentral.
UACGUAGGGUGCGAGCGUUGUCCGGAAUUAUUGGGCGUAAAGAGCCUGUAGGCGGUUUGUCGCGUCUGCUGUGAAAAUCCGGGGCUCAACCCCGGACUUGCAGUGGGUACGGGCAGACUAGAGUGUGGUAGGGGAGACUGGAAUUCCUGGUGUAGCGGUGAAAUGCGCAGAUAUCAGGAGGAACACCGAUGGCGAAGGCAGGUCUCCGGGCCACUACUGACGCUGAGAAGCGAAAGCAUGGGGAGCGAACAGG